This 954-nucleotide ribosomal RNA is filed under the name Triticum aestivum (bread wheat). RNAcentral describes it as "partial small subunit ribosomal RNA". Lineage: Eukaryota; Viridiplantae; Streptophyta; Magnoliopsida; Poales; Poaceae. The record is from RNAcentral.
AUGAUCAUACAAAAAUUUUAUGCCGAAUUGAAUUUUGCUUCUAGAAAUCUUUUAGAUUCGGCCGCGGGAGGCACGUUUAUGGAAAUCACAUUAGGAGAAGCUACCAAACUCCUUGAUAACAUUAUGGCUAAUUAUUCUCAAUGGCACACCGAAAGAUCUACUAAUAAAAAAGUGUAUGCUAUAGAAGAAAUUAAUGUUUUAAGUGGAAAGAUGGAUGAACUUAUGAAAUUGUUUGCUACUAAGAGUGCUCCUAUUGAUCCCAAUGAUAUGCCUUUGUCUACUUUGAUUGAGAAUAAUAAUGAAUCUAUGGAUGUGAAUUUUGUUGGUAGGAAUAAUUUUGGUAACAAUGCUUAUAGAGGAAACUUUAAUCCUAGACCGUUCCCUAGUAAUUCCUCUAAUAAUUAUGGAAAUUCCUACAAUAAUUCUUAUGGUAAUUUUAAUAAGAUGCUCUCUGAUUUUGAGAAUAGUGUGAAAGAAUUUAUGAUCUCUCAAAAGAAUUUUAAUGCCUUGCUUGAAGAAAAAUUGCUUAAAGUUGACGAUUUGGCUAGGAACGUUGAUAGACUUUCGCUUGUUGUUGAUUCUUUGAAACUUAGAUAUACUCCUCCUAAGCAUGAUAUCAAUGAGUCUCUCAAAGCUAUGAGAAUUUCCAUUGAUGAGUGCAAGGAGAGAACCGCUAGAUUGCGUGCUAAGAAAGAUUGCUUUGUAAAAGUGUGUUCUUCUAGUUUCCAAGAAAAUAAUGAUGAAAAUCUAAAAGUUAUUGAUGUGUCCCCUAUUAGAUCCUUGUUUUGCAAUAUGAAUCUUUAUAAUUAUGGGAUUGGAGAUGAGUCAGCUUUAGUUAAAAGGCGUCCCAAUGAUUCGGAGUUUUUAGAUCUUGAUGCUAAAUUUGGUAAAAGUGGGAUUGGAGAGGUCAAAACUUUAAAUAGCAUUGAACCCACUAUCUUGGAUUUGAAGUAA